RNAcentral lists this unclassified non-coding RNA (210 nucleotides) under Hevea brasiliensis (rubber tree). The record is from RNAcentral. Lineage: Eukaryota; Viridiplantae; Streptophyta; Magnoliopsida; Malpighiales; Euphorbiaceae.
GGAUCUUUCAUUCAGUACCUGCUCAGUUUCAAACAACCUUGCCUAUUGGAGAAUACGCGGCUGUUGCCCUCUUGUUCUUUUUUGGCCUCAAAUCAAUUAAAGAUGCAUGGGAACUUCCAAGCAAUGAUGUUGAGACUGGUGAAAAGAGUAGUCAGGAACUUGAUGAAUUUGCAGAAGCUGAGGAGCUUGUGAAGGAAAAGGCAUCAAAAC